UGCAGAUCUUACAUGCAAAAGCCACAGCUCUCCACCUGUGAAAACUGACUCAUGUUUUCAUGGGGGAAAAAAAAAAGUGUUUUUUUGUUUUUUUUUUUUUAAAGAUCAGCAACUGAGAACAGAAGUUAGUAUUGUUUGCAUUAUCUUGGAGAUGUGAGCAGCUGACCACAGGGAAUUUGGAUCAGAGGUAAUAAGGUAACUUAUUUUAUUGAAGCAGGGCACAGCCCAACAGCACUUGAACAAGGAACAGGCCUUGCCUGGGGAAGUUGAAGAAAGCAGGAGCAGAGAGGUGACAUGGUAUUGGAAGGAACUGACCUGGAGGAACUCCAUCCCACCCAGGAUGCAAAUUAUCCUUCAACGGGCUAUGGGUUCAAAACGAGGGCAAAAAGCCAAGAUUCUUCAUAAACAAAAAUCACCAGCUUAAUUUUUCCCUGCAAAAAGUAUUCUCCUCCUUGGGCCCCCACGGGGAUGCUGCCUGCUGGGGUUUUCCAUUAGUUCUCCUUCUCGUCUGGGAAACAGGGUGAUUGUCAUACCCUAGCAGGGCCAAAAGUAUUGGGAACACGGAUCAAAAGUUGUACCCCUCUCGGCCACCAAGUGCUAUGCUUUAGCCAUGAACUAUAUAACAUGGAACUGAGGGCUCAAAUGCCUCAGUGGUUUAGAACGUGAGGAGUCGGAGGAAAGUCAGAAUAUUGACAGAUUAUUCCUUUGGAAAAUCCAAAUGAAAAGUAAG
Molecule: long non-coding RNA, 730 nt
Filed under: Marmota monax (woodchuck)
Lineage: Eukaryota; Metazoa; Chordata; Mammalia; Rodentia; Sciuridae
Source: RNAcentral